CUGGUGACUGUUGAGAUAAUUUUUACUGUUUGUUUGUCCGACAAAUAUUUUAUUUUAGUUGGGUUUUUUUCCUGUGGAUUGAUAUGAAAUUAUUUACUCCUUCUUUGCUUCACCUUCAAUUGGUUUUUUGAAUUUUUUUAAGAACUCACUCAUUGUUUCGUUUCAAAUCUGUAUUGUCAUAUAUACAUUAAACUACCAUGUAACUUAUAUACAAAUUAAACACCAACAAAAUACAUCUAGAAU
This 243-nucleotide long non-coding RNA is filed under the name Mytilus galloprovincialis (Mediterranean mussel). The record is from RNAcentral. Lineage: Eukaryota; Metazoa; Mollusca; Bivalvia; Mytilida; Mytilidae.